RNAcentral lists this ribosomal RNA (468 nucleotides) under uncultured bacterium. RNAcentral's name for it is "partial 16S ribosomal RNA". It matches the Rfam family "Bacterial small subunit ribosomal RNA", at positions 28 to 507 of the family's 1533-position model. The record is from RNAcentral.
GACGAACGCUGGCGGCGUGCUUAACACAUGCAAGUCGAACGGAAAGGCCCUGCUUUUGUGGGGUGCUCGAGUGGCGAACGGGUGAGUAACACGUGAGUAACCUGCCCUUGACUUUGGGAUAACUUCAGGAAACUGGGGCUAAUACCGGAUAGGAGCUCCUGCUGCAUGGUGGGGGUUGGAAAGUUUCGGCGGUUGGGGAUGGACUCGCGGCUUAUCAGCUUGUUGGUGGGGUAGUGGCUUACCAAGGCUUUGACGGGUAGCCGGCCUGAGAGGGUGACCGGCCACAUUGGGAAUGGGAUACGGGCCAGGCUUCUUCGGGAGGGAGCAGUGGGGGAUAUUGCACAAUGGGCGGAAGGCUGAUGCAGCAACGCCGCGUGCGGGAUGACGGCCUUCGGGUUGUAAACCGCUUUCGCCUGUGACGAAGCGUGAGUGACGGUAAUGGGUAAAGAAGCACCGGCUAACUACGUG